GAUGAACGCUAGCGGGAGGCCUAACACAUGCAAGCCGAGCGGUAUUUGUUCUUCGGAACAGAGAGAGCGGCGCACGGGUGCGGAACACGUGUGCAACCUGCCUUUAUCUGGGGGAUAGCCUUUCGAAAGGAAGAUUAAUACCCCAUAAUAUAUUGAGUGGCAUCAUUUGAUAUUGAAAACUCCGGUGGAUAGAGAUGGGCACGCGCAAGAUUAGAUAGUUGGUGAGGUAACGGCUCACCAAGUCAAUGAUCUUUAGGGGGCCUGAGAGGGUGAUCCCCCACACUGGUACUGAGACACGGACCAGACUCCUACGGGAGGCAGCAGUGAGGAAUAUUGGACAAGGGGUUAGCGCCUGAUCCAGCCAUCCCGCGUGAAGGACGACGGCCCUAUGGGUUGUAAACUUCUUUCGUAUAGGGAUAAACCUACUCUCGUGAGAGUAGCUGAAGGUACUAUACGAAUAAGCACCGGCUAACUCCGUG
This 479-nucleotide ribosomal RNA is filed under the name uncultured bacterium. Its description in RNAcentral is "partial 16S ribosomal RNA". It matches the Rfam family "Bacterial small subunit ribosomal RNA", at positions 28 to 507 of the family's 1533-position model. The record is from RNAcentral.